RNAcentral lists this ribosomal RNA (174 nucleotides) under uncultured bacterium. Its description in RNAcentral is "partial 16S ribosomal RNA". It matches the Rfam family "Bacterial small subunit ribosomal RNA", at positions 338 to 524 of the family's 1533-position model. The record is from RNAcentral.
CCUACGGGAGGCAGCAGUGGGGAAUAUUGGGCAAUGGAGGAAACUCUGACCCAGCGACGCCGCGUGAGGGAUGAAGGCCUUCGGGUUGUAAACCUCUUUCAGUAGGGAAGAAGCGAAAGUGACGGUACCUACAGAAGAAGCACCAGCUAACUAUGUGCCAGCAGCCGCGGUAAU